AAACCAGCACCUCAAGUGGUCAGGAUGAUUAUUGGGCCUAAAGCAUCCGUAGCCUGUUCUAUAAGUUUCCGGUUAAAUCCACUAGCUCAACUAGUGGGCUGCCGAAAAUACUGUAGAACUAGGGAGUGGGAGAGGUAGACGGUAUUCGGUAGGAAGGGGUAAAAUCCUUUGAUCUAUUGAGGACCACCUGUGGCGAAGGCGGUCUACCAGAACACGUUCGACGGUGAGGGAUGAAAGCUGGGGGAGCAAACCGGAUUAGAUACCCGAGUAGUCC
Molecule: ribosomal RNA, 274 nt
Filed under: uncultured bacterium
Lineage: Bacteria
Description: partial 16S ribosomal RNA
Rfam family: Archaeal small subunit ribosomal RNA
Source: RNAcentral